GACCCAUUUAGAUCAUUGACCACAUCAUGACUGUUUCUAGUCCUCCUUUCUACAUACACCACCUUUCCUCUUCUAUCACACUUGAAAUCAACAAUAAAACGCUCAAAUAAGUAGAGUUAGCAAUAACUAUCAAACAAGUUCAUAAAAUCUAGAACACAAUUGAGCAAUGACAUCAACUACUCCUCAGUCCCAAACAGGUUGGUG
RNAcentral lists this unclassified non-coding RNA (204 nucleotides) under Hevea brasiliensis (rubber tree). The record is from RNAcentral. Lineage: Eukaryota; Viridiplantae; Streptophyta; Magnoliopsida; Malpighiales; Euphorbiaceae.